CAGUCUGAUUGGUAUUUUCAUCUGUUGGUAAAAUAGCCAUACAGUAAAUACCAUUCAGAUUGCA
This 64-nucleotide microRNA precursor is filed under the name Ptychodera flava. RNAcentral describes it as "Pfl-Mir-4828-P1_pre stem-loop". The record is from RNAcentral. Lineage: Eukaryota; Metazoa; Hemichordata; Enteropneusta; Ptychoderidae.